CGGCCGGACAAGUCCGUUGGGAAAUCGACGCGCUCAACGCGUCGGCGUCCAGCGGAAACUGUUCGGCUUGGGGCCGGAAGACCUGAGGGGUACGUCCGGGGUAGGAGUGAAAUCCCGUAAUCCUGGACGGACCGCCGGUGGCGAAAGCGCCUCAGGAAGACGGACCCGACGGUGAGGGACGAAAGCUAGGGUCUCGAACCGGAUUAGAUACCCGGGUAGUCCUAGCCGUAAACAAUGCUCGCUAGGUGUGCCGCAGGCUACGAGCCUGCGCUGUGCCCUAGGGAAGCCGAGAAGCGAGCCGCCUGGGAA
RNAcentral lists this ribosomal RNA (309 nucleotides) under uncultured archaeon. Its description in RNAcentral is "bacterial SSU rRNA". It matches the Rfam family "Archaeal small subunit ribosomal RNA", at positions 526 to 834 of the family's 1478-position model. The record is from RNAcentral.